UACGUAGGGUGCAAGCGUUGUCCGGAAUUAUUGGGCGUAAAGAGCUCGUAGGCGGUCUGUUGCGUCGGCUGUGAAAACCCGGGGCUCAACCCCGGGCCUGCAGCCGAUACGGGCAGACUAGAGUUCGGCAGGGGAGACUGGAAUUCCUGGUGUAGCGGUGAAAUGCGCAGAUAUCAGGAAGAACACCCGUGGCGAAGGCGGCUCUCUGGGACGGUACUGACGCUGAGACGCGAAAGCGUGGGGAGCAAACAGG
This 253-nucleotide ribosomal RNA is filed under the name uncultured bacterium. RNAcentral describes it as "partial 16S ribosomal RNA". It matches the Rfam family "Bacterial small subunit ribosomal RNA", at positions 524 to 776 of the family's 1533-position model. The record is from RNAcentral.